UACGUAGGGGGCAAGCGUUAUCCGGAUUUACUGGGUGUAAAGGGAGCGUAGACGGUUACGCAAGUCUGGAGUGAAAGGCGGGGGCCCAACCCCCGGACUGCUUUGGAAACUGUAUAACUGGAGUGCAGGAGAGGUAAGUGGAAUUCCUAGUGUAGCGGUGAAAUGCGUAGAUAUAAGGAAGAACACCAGUGGCGAAGGCGGAUGACUGGACGGCAACUGACGGUGAGGCGCGAAAGCGUGGGGAGCAAACAGG
This 253-nucleotide ribosomal RNA is filed under the name uncultured Eubacteriales bacterium. RNAcentral's name for it is "uncultured Clostridiales bacterium partial 16S ribosomal RNA". It matches the Rfam family "Bacterial small subunit ribosomal RNA", at positions 524 to 776 of the family's 1533-position model. The record is from RNAcentral. Lineage: Bacteria; Bacillati; Bacillota; Clostridia; Eubacteriales.